GAAGGUCUUCGGAUCGUAAAGUUCUGUUGUUAGGGAAGAACACGUACCAUUCGAAUAGGAUGGUACCUUGACGGUACCUAACGAGGAAGCCCCGGCUAACUACGUGCCAGCAGCCGCGGUAAUACGUAGGGGGCAAGCGUUGUCCGGAAUUAUUGGGCGUAAAGCGCGCGCAGGCGGUUCCUUAAGUCUGAUGUGAAAGCCCACGGCUUAACCGUGGAGGGUCAUUGGAAACUGGGGAACUUGAGUGCAGAAGAGGAGAGUGGAAUUCCACGUGUAGCGGUGAAAUGCGUAGAUAUGUGGAGGAACACCAGUGGCGAAGGCGACUCUCUGGUCUGUAACUGACGCUGAGGCGCGAAAGCGUGGGGAGCGAACAGGAUUAGAUACG
This 385-nucleotide ribosomal RNA is filed under the name Virgibacillus sp. RNAcentral's name for it is "bacterial SSU rRNA". It matches the Rfam family "Bacterial small subunit ribosomal RNA", at positions 410 to 786 of the family's 1533-position model. Lineage: Bacteria; Bacillati; Bacillota; Bacilli; Caryophanales; Bacillaceae. The record is from RNAcentral.